CCCCCCGUAGACUGAACCAGCCAUGCCGCGUGAAGGUCAGUGCCCUAUGGGCGUUAAACUUCUUUUGUGCGGGAGCAAUAAUGGUCACGUGUGGCCAGACGAGAGUACCGUACGAAUAAGCAUCGGCUAACUCCGUGCCAGCAGCGGCGGUAAUACGGGGGAGGCAAGCGUUAUCCGGAUUUAUUGGGUUUAAAGGGUGCGUAGGCUGUGAGGUAAGUCAGCGGUGAAAUGCCCCCGCUCAACGGGGUAAAGUGCCAUUGAUACUGCCUUGCUGGAAUGCGGAUGCCGUGGGAGGAAUGUGUGGUGUAGCGGUGAAAUGCAUAGAUAUCACACAGAACACCGAUUGCGAAGGCAUCUCACGGAUCCGCGAUUGACGCUGAUGCACGAAAGCGUGGGUAUCAAACAGGAUUAGAUACCCCUGUAGUC
RNAcentral lists this ribosomal RNA (426 nucleotides) under uncultured bacterium. RNAcentral describes it as "partial 16S ribosomal RNA". It matches the Rfam family "Bacterial small subunit ribosomal RNA", at positions 372 to 795 of the family's 1533-position model. The record is from RNAcentral.